CUGGAUUGGACUCGGUUAUAAGAGUUGGUACUCUCAUGGAAGAGGAGGUUGCAAUUCCAUGUUGUGUUUUCAAUCCAAGUGAUAAUAAUAACAGUGGUGAUGCUGAUUGUCUUCUGUUCAUUGGCUUCUUGUAUGCAAUGGUUGGGAUUAUCUUGUUGAUGAUCUCUCUUUUUUGUGGUCGAGGGAUUCCUUUAAAGGAUGAUAUCGUUUUCUUGCUAUCUA
RNAcentral lists this long non-coding RNA (222 nucleotides) under Capsicum annuum. RNAcentral's name for it is "long non-coding RNA (CANN_LNC006067)". The record is from RNAcentral. Lineage: Eukaryota; Viridiplantae; Streptophyta; Magnoliopsida; Solanales; Solanaceae.